UACGUAGGGGGCAAGCGUUCUCCGGAAUUAUUGGGCGUAAAGGGCACGCAGGCGGUUUCCUAAGUCUGAUGUGAAAGCCCACGGCUCAACCGUGGAGGGUCAUUGGAAACUGGGGAACUUGAGUGCAGGAGAGGAGAGCGGAAUUCCACGUGUAGCGGUGAAAUGCGUAGAGAUGUGGAGGAACACCAGUGGCGAAGGCGGCUCUCUGGCCUGAUACUGACGCUGAGGUGCGAAAGCGUGGGGAGCGAACAGG
Molecule: ribosomal RNA, 253 nt
Filed under: uncultured bacterium
Lineage: Bacteria
Description: partial 16S ribosomal RNA
Rfam family: Bacterial small subunit ribosomal RNA
Source: RNAcentral